This 680-nucleotide ribosomal RNA is filed under the name Astroscopus guttatus (northern stargazer). RNAcentral's name for it is "partial 12S small subunit ribosomal RNA". It matches the Rfam family "Bacterial small subunit ribosomal RNA", at positions 512 to 1502 of the family's 1533-position model. Lineage: Eukaryota; Metazoa; Chordata; Actinopteri; Uranoscopiformes; Uranoscopidae. The record is from RNAcentral.
CCGCCGCGGUUACACGGGAGGCUCAAGUUAAGAGAUUUCGGCGUAAAGAGUGGUUAGGAAAAACAAUAAAAUAAAGCCAAAUAAUUUCAAAGCUGUUAUACGCACCUGAAAUAUAAGAAGCCCCCCUACGAAAGUGGCUUUACACCCCCCCCCUGAACCCACGGAAGCUAGGACACAAACUGGGAUUAGAUACCCCACUAUGCCUUGCCCUAAACAUAGAUGGUAAAAUACAACUUCCAUCCGCCAGGGAACUACGAGCGUAAGCUUAAAACCCAAAGGACUUGGCGGUGCUUUAGACCCCCCUAGAGGAGCCUGUUCUAGAACCGAUAACCCCCGUUCAACCUCACCCCUCCUUGUUCUUCCCGCCUAUAUACCACCGUCGCCAGCUUACCCUAUGAAGGUACAACAGUAAGCUAAACUGGCACAGCCCAAAACGUCAGGUCGAGGUGUAGCGAAUGAAGGGGAAUGAAAUGGGCUACAUUCCCUAAACUAAGGGAAUACGAACGGUAAACUGAAACAUUUACCCGAAGGCGGAUUUAGCAGUAAGCAGGGAAUAGAGUGCCCUACUGAAGCCGGCCCUAAAGCGCGCACACACCGCCCGUCACUCUCCCCAAAAACCCUUAAUAACUAACUAAAAGAUAACACAAAUAAAGGGGAGGCAAGUCGUAACAUGGUAAGUG